This 503-nucleotide ribosomal RNA is filed under the name uncultured bacterium. Its description in RNAcentral is "bacterial SSU rRNA". It matches the Rfam family "Bacterial small subunit ribosomal RNA", at positions 15 to 518 of the family's 1533-position model. The record is from RNAcentral.
GAUCCUGGCUCAGGAUGAACGCUGGCGGCGUGCUUAACACAUGCAAGUCGAACGGAGUUUUUAAACGGAAGUUUUCGGAUGGAAGUUUAAAAACUUAGUGGCGGACGGGUGAGUAACGCGUGGGUAACCUGCCUCAUACAGGGGGAUAACAGUUAGAAAUGACUGCUAACACCGCAUAAUAUAGCGAAACCGCAUGAUUUUGCUAUCAAAUAUUUAUAGGUAUGAGAUGGGCCCGCGUCUGAUUAGCUAGUUGGUGGGGUAAAAGCCUACCAAGGCGACGAUCAGUAGCCGGCUUGAGAGAGUGACCGGCCACAUUGGGACUGAGACACGGCCCAAACUCCUACGGGAGGCAGCAGUGGGGAAUAUUGGACAAUGGGGGAAACCCUGAUCCAGCGACGCCCGCGUGAGUGAAGAAGUAUUUCGGUAUGUAAAGCUCUAUCAGCAGGGAAGAUAAUGACAGUACCUGACUAAGAAGCCCCGGCUAACUACGUGCCAGCAGCUGC